Long non-coding RNA from Lolium rigidum, 943 nucleotides. RefSeq lists it as uncharacterized. The transcript is spliced from 4 exons. Lineage: Eukaryota; Viridiplantae; Streptophyta; Magnoliopsida; Poales; Poaceae. The record is from RefSeq and is a predicted model, not a curated record.
AUCCUUCGGUCAUAUAUUCCCACAUGUAGCGGGCGUGUCCGGAUGAUAGUCAACGACCAAGCCGACCGAAAUUCCCCAUUUCCCCACCUCACCUCCUUCCUGCAAGCUCCCUCCUCCAUCUCACCUCCUUCGAUUCUACCUCGUCGGCGGCAAAUAGUCCGGUGGAAAGACAAAUCGAGGGAGGUGGUGGUGGUUUGCGUUCGUCGUCCGGCGCCGGGGCAGCAACAACAACAACAGAUCGACGAGCUCGGGGCAGCGGUAAGAGGAUCUGGUUCUGGGAGCAUCGACAGCCAAGAGGGGCUACCCGGCGGCGAGAAGGGCUAGCGAGGCAGGUCUUCGUCGGCGGGCAACUACUGGCCGCGGAAGGAGGCGCUGGCGCUGCUCAAGAUCCGGCCCAAGGUGGACGCCGCGUUCCGAGAGGCCGCGCUCGCCUUGUUGUCCGUGGCGUUUGCCGCCGCGCGCACCAGCUCCUCAUCGGAGGAAGGGUAGUGUCGGUAGACUGCGGCCGCCGCGCGGCACGUCAAUCGGUAUGGAAACACGCCGUACACGCUUGAUACGAUACAGUCAGUUGUGCCACCACCGGACGAGCACUGCGCGGGUCCGGUGAUGGGCUAGCGACGGCUCACUCGGGAGGAAAUCUCCAGGGUCACCUUCUCGAGGAUUGUCAAGAGGAAAUCGACGGAAGACUUCUCUGGCGUGCCAUACAACAUGACUGCUGCUCAGCUGCCUCUUACCAACAUGGAUGUAUUAUUAUAUCACAGGAAGUACUUUUGCAUCCCUCGAAGUUUUGCUUCACAAUAGACAGUGACAGCAGGGAGAUGCCAAAUUUUCAUCUACGGGUUACAAAGCAAGCGAUGUGUUUUGUUGCAUUAAAAGGACGAUGGUGCAGUUGUAUAUAUGAUGUUCUUUUUUGGGUUUUGCCAACCGCAUGUGUGAAUGCAUU